RNAcentral lists this ribosomal RNA (403 nucleotides) under Bacteroidota bacterium. RNAcentral describes it as "Bacteroidetes bacterium partial 16S ribosomal RNA". It matches the Rfam family "Bacterial small subunit ribosomal RNA", at positions 355 to 776 of the family's 1533-position model. The record is from RNAcentral. Lineage: Bacteria; Pseudomonadati; Bacteroidota.
UGGGGAAUAUUGCACAAUGGAGGGAACUCUGAUGCAGCGACGCCGCGUGAACGAAGAAGGCUUUCGAGUCGUAAAGUUCUUUUAUAUGGGAAGAUAAUGACGGUACCAUAGGAGGAAGCCCCGGCUAACUACGUGCCAGCAGCCGCGGUAAUACGUAGGGGGCGAGCGUUGUCCGGAAUUACUGGGCGUAAAGGGUUCGCAGGCGGCAUGACAAGUCCGAUGUAAAAGGCGAAAGCUCAACUUUCGCAAGCAUCGGAAACUGUCAAGCUUGAGUGAAGGAGAGGCAAGUGGAAUUCCUAGUGUAGCGGUGGAAUGCGUAGAUAUAUGGAGGAACACCGGUGGCGAAAGCGGCUCUCUGGUCUGUAACUGACGCUGAGGCUCGAAAGCGUGGGGAGCGAACAGG